ACACGGAGCUUGCUCUGUGGGAUCAGUGGCGAACGGGUGAGUAACACGUGAGCAACCUGCCCCUGACUCUGGGAUAAGCGCUGGAAACGGCGUCUAAUACUGGAUAUGUGACGUGAUCGCAUGGUCUGCGUCUGGAAAGAAUUUCGGUUGGGGAUGGGCUCGCGGCCUAUCAGCUUGUUGGUGAGGUAAUGGCUCACCAAGGCGUCGACGGGUAGCCGGCCUGAGAGGGUGACCGGCCACACUGGGACUGAGACACGGCCCAGACUCCUACGGGAGGCAGCAGUGGGGAAUAUUGCACAAUGGGCGCAAGCCUGAUGCAGCAACGCCGCGUGAGGGACGACGGCCUUCGGGUUGUAAACCUCUUUUAGCAGGGAAGAAGCGAAAGUGACGGUACCUGCAGAAAAAGCGCGGGCUAACUACGUGCCAGCAGCCGCGGUAAUACGUAGGGCGCAAGCGUUAUCCGGAAUUAUUGGGCGUAAAGAGCUCGUAGGCGGUUUGUCGCGUCUGCUGUGAAAUCCGGAGGCUCAACCUCCGGCCUGCAGUGGGUACGGGCAGACUAGAGUGCGGUAGGGGAGAUUGGAAUUCCUGGUGUAGCGGUGGAAUGCGCAGAUAUCAGGAGGAACACCGAUGGCGAAGGCAGAUCUCUGGGCCGAAACUGACGCUGAGGAGCGAAAGGGUGGGGAGCAAACAGGCUUAGAUACCCUGGUAGUCCACCCCGUAAACGUUGGGAACUAGUUGUGGGGUCCAUUCCACGGAUUCCGUGACGCAGCUAACGCAUUAAGUUCCCCGCCUGGGGAGUACGGCCGCAAGGCUAAAACUCAAAGGAAUUGACGGGGACCCGCACAAGCGGCGGAGCAUGCGGAUUAAUUCGAUGCAACGCGAAGAACCUUACCAAGGCUUGACAUAUACGAGAACGGGCCAGAAAUGGUCAACUCUUUGGACACUCGUAAACAGGUGGUGCAUGGUUGUCGUCAGCUCGUGUCGUGAGAUGUUGGGUUAAGUCCCGCAACGAGCGCAACCCUCGUUCUAUGUUGCCAGCACGUAAUGGUGGGAACUCAUGGGAUACUGCCGGGGUCAACUCGGAGGAAGGUGGGGAUGACGUCAAAUCAUCAUGCCCCUUAUGUCUUGGGCUUCACGCAUGCUACAAUGGCCGGUACAAAGGGCUGCAAUACCGUGAGGUGGAGCGAAUCCCAAAAAGCC
Molecule: ribosomal RNA, 1200 nt
Filed under: Microbacterium sp.
Lineage: Bacteria; Bacillati; Actinomycetota; Actinomycetes; Micrococcales; Microbacteriaceae
Description: bacterial SSU rRNA
Rfam family: Bacterial small subunit ribosomal RNA
Source: RNAcentral